GGGCGCAAGCCUGAUGCAGCGACGCCGCGUGAGGGAUGACGGCCUUCGGGUUGUAAACCUCUUUCAGUAGGGAAGAAGCGAAAGUGACGGUACCUGCAGAAGAAGCGCCGGCUAACUACGUGCCAGCAGCCGCGGUAAUACGUAGGGCGCAAGCGUUAUCCGGAAUUAUUGGGCGUAAAGAGCUCGUAGGCGGUUUGUCGCGUCUGCCGUGAAAGUCCGGGGCUCAACUCCGGAUCUGCGGUGGGUACGGGCAGACUAGAGUGAUGUAGGGGAGACUGGAAUUCCUGGUGUAGCGGUGAAAUGCGCAGAUAUCAGGAGGAACACCGAUGGCGAAGGCAGGUCUCUGGGCAUUAACUGACGCUGAGGAGCGAAAGCAUGGGGAGCGAACAGGAUUAGAUACCCUGGUAGUCCAUGCCGUAAACGUUGGGCACUAGGUGUGGGGGACAUUCCACGUUUUCCGCGCCGUAGCUAACGCAUUAAGUGCCCCGCCUGG
Molecule: ribosomal RNA, 493 nt
Filed under: Pseudarthrobacter phenanthrenivorans
Lineage: Bacteria; Bacillati; Actinomycetota; Actinomycetes; Micrococcales; Micrococcaceae
Description: bacterial SSU rRNA
Rfam family: Bacterial small subunit ribosomal RNA
Source: RNAcentral